UAUGUUCUUCGUGACAUGGCGUACUGCUCAGUAACACGUGGAUAACCUGCCCUUGGGUCCGGCAUAACCCCGGGAAACUGGGGAUAAUUCCGGAUAACGCACAUAUGCUGGAAUGCUUUAUGCGUCAAAUGGAUUCGUCUGCCCAAGGAUGGGUCUGCGGCCUAUCAGGUAGUAGUGGGUGUAAUGUACCUACUAGCCGACGACGGGUACGGGUUGUGAGAGCAAGAGCCCGG
Molecule: ribosomal RNA, 233 nt
Filed under: Methanosarcina sp. enrichment culture clone A07
Lineage: Archaea; Methanobacteriati; Methanobacteriota; Methanomicrobia; Methanosarcinales; Methanosarcinaceae
Description: partial 16S ribosomal RNA
Rfam family: Archaeal small subunit ribosomal RNA
Source: RNAcentral